UGUUGGAAAGAAACCAGUUGAUGUUGGAGAUUGCUGCGGUGCCUGUGGAGACUGCUGCUGCUGCUGCUGGGUCUGGCUCUGAUUCUGGGCUGGUGAAAGAGGAGGUGGAGGUGGCGGCCCACUUGGCCUUGGAAAGCCUGGAGGUGGCAUGUUCGGCAGUGGAGGUGGCAUGUUCGGCAGUGGAGGUGGCAUAGAGCUGGCCAGCAUCCCAAAAGGUCCCAUUCCAAACAUUCCUCCACCAUUUUGACUGAAUUGCUGCACAAGUGGUGGCAGUGGAGGGGG
Molecule: long non-coding RNA, 282 nt
Filed under: Hordeum vulgare
Lineage: Eukaryota; Viridiplantae; Streptophyta; Magnoliopsida; Poales; Poaceae
Description: long non-coding RNA (HVUL_LNC021044)
Source: RNAcentral